CGCGCAGGCGGAUUUAUAAGCCAGAUGUGAAAUCUCGGGGCUCAACCCCGAAACUGCGUCUGGAACUGUAAAUCUAGAGUUAUGGAGGGGAGAGCGGAAUUUCGCAUGUAGGGGUAAAAUCCGUAGAGAUGCGAAGGAACACCAGAGCCGAAGGGGGCUCUCUGGCCAUCAACUGACGCUGAGGCGCGAAAGCGUGGGGAGCAAACA
Molecule: ribosomal RNA, 207 nt
Filed under: uncultured bacterium
Lineage: Bacteria
Description: partial 16S ribosomal RNA
Rfam family: Bacterial small subunit ribosomal RNA
Source: RNAcentral